RNAcentral lists this ribosomal RNA (639 nucleotides) under uncultured Fusobacteriota bacterium. RNAcentral's name for it is "bacterial SSU rRNA". It matches the Rfam family "Bacterial small subunit ribosomal RNA", at positions 83 to 736 of the family's 1533-position model. Lineage: Bacteria; Fusobacteriati; Fusobacteriota. The record is from RNAcentral.
CUUCGGGUGAAGGUGGCGGACGGGUGAGUAACGCGUAGAGAACUUGCCUUACAGACUGGGACAACAUUUGGAAACGAAUGCUAAUACCGGAUAUUAUGAUUGGGUCGCAUGAUCUGAUUAUGAAAGCUAUAUGCGCUGUGAGAGAGCUUUGCGUCCCAUUAGUUAGUUGGUGAGGUAACGGCUCACCAAGACGAUGAUGGGUAGCCGGCCUGAGAGGGUGAACGGCCACAAGGGGACUGAGACACGGCCCUUACUCCUACGGGAGGCAGCAGUGGGGAAUAUUGGACAAUGGACCAAAAGUCUGAUCCAGCAAUUCUGUGUGCACGAAGAAGUUUUUCGGAAUGUAAAGUGCUUUCAGUUGGGAAGAAGUCAGUGACGGUACCAACAGAAGAAGCGACGGCUAAAUACGUGCCAGCAGCCGCGGUAAUACGUAUGUCGCAAGCGUUAUCCGGAUUUAUUGGGCGUAAAGCGCGUCUAGGCGGCUUAGUAAGUCUGAUGUGAAAAUGCGGGGCUCAACCCCGUAUUGCGUCGGAAACUGCUAAACUAGAGUACUGGAGAGGUAGGCGGAACUACAAGUGUAGAGGUGAAAUUCGUAGAUAUUUGUAGGAAUGCCGAUGGGGAAGCCAGCCUACUGGACAG